RNAcentral lists this ribosomal RNA (494 nucleotides) under uncultured bacterium. RNAcentral's name for it is "partial 16S ribosomal RNA". It matches the Rfam family "Bacterial small subunit ribosomal RNA", at positions 28 to 507 of the family's 1533-position model. The record is from RNAcentral.
GACGAACGCUGGCGGCGCGCUUAACACAUGCAAGUCGAACGGAAAGGCCUGCUUUCCCUUGUGGAUUGCGGGUACUCGAGUGGCGAACGGGUGAGUAACACGUGAGUGAUCUGCCCCCAACUUGGGUAUAAGCCUGGGAAACUGGGUCUAAUUCCCGAUAGGACUGCAGGGUGGUGCCUGUGGUGGAAAACGAUUUUCUAGUGGUUGGGGAUGAGCUCGCGGCCUAUCAGCUUGUUGGUGGGGUAAUGGCCUACCAAGGCGGCGACGGGUAGCCGGCCUGAGAGGGGGGACGGCCACAGUGGGAAUGAGAUACGGCCCAGACUCCUACGGGAGGCAGCAGUGGGGAAUAUUGCACAAGGGGCGGAAGCCUGAUGCAGCGACGCCGCGUGGGGGAUGACGGCCUUCGGGUUGUAAACUCCUUUCGACCGCGAGGAAGCCACCUGGUUGGAAGGGUGGUGACGGUAGUGGUAGAAGAAGCACCGGCUAACUACGUG